AUACGGAGGAUCCGAGCGUUAUCCGGAUUUAUUGGGUUUAAAGGGAGCGUAGGUGGAUUGUUAAGUCAGUUGUGAAAGUUUGCGGCUCAACCGUAAAAUUGCAGUUGAAACUGGCAGUCUUGAGUACAGUAGAGGUGGGCGGAAUUCGUGGUGUAGCGGUGAAAUGCUUAGAUAUCACGAAGAACUCCGAUUGCGAAGGCAGCUCACUAGACUGUUACUGACACUGAUGCUCGAAAGUGUGGGUAUCAAACAGGAUUAGAUACCCUGGUAGUCCACACAGUAAACGAUGAAUAUUCGCUGUUUGCGAUAUACAGUAAGCGGCCAAGCGAAAGCAUUAAGUAUUCCACCUGGGGAGUACGCCGGCAACGGUGAAACUCAAAGGAAUUGACGGGG
This 393-nucleotide ribosomal RNA is filed under the name uncultured bacterium. Its description in RNAcentral is "partial 16S ribosomal RNA". It matches the Rfam family "Bacterial small subunit ribosomal RNA", at positions 523 to 918 of the family's 1533-position model. The record is from RNAcentral.